GUGCUCGCUUCAGCAGCACAUAUACCAAAAUUGGAACAAUACAGAAAGUAGCAUGGCCCUUUCACAAGGAUGACAUGCAAGUUUGUUCUGCGAAGCGUCCCACAGUUAA
This is a small nuclear RNA of Balaenoptera musculus (blue whale), 109 nucleotides long. The record is from Ensembl. NCBI's taxonomy places the organism in Eukaryota, Metazoa, Chordata, Mammalia, Artiodactyla, Balaenopteridae.